Molecule: long non-coding RNA, 642 nt
Filed under: Amborella trichopoda
Lineage: Eukaryota; Viridiplantae; Streptophyta; Magnoliopsida; Amborellales; Amborellaceae
Description: long non-coding RNA (ATRI_LNC001933)
Source: RNAcentral
UAAGAGGAAUGUUAAAGGUACUACAAUUGGACUGUGGAUAAUACCAGAGAUGGAUUAAACUAAAUUUUGAUGGAAGUUCUAUAGGUUACUAGAUGGCUAAACAAUUUAAUAAGCCACUGGUAAUUGAAAGAGAUUCGCUAAUUGUGAUAAGAUGGAUGAAAAAAGAGGUUAAAUUUCCAAGGGCUCGGCAUGCUUUGGUUAGGGAAGUGGGAGAGGUACGCUGUGAUUGGUCUGUUGUCUUUACUCACGUCUAUCGAUAAUUUAAUAUGGAGGCGGACGGUCUUGCAAAAGGUUUGACGAUGGACGAACUCAUUGAUGUAAUUUUGUAGUUUUUGUUCUUUCUUUUUUUUUUUACUUCAUGUAAACUGUUAAUUAGGUGUGCUUAUAGGCAGUAUUGGAUAUUGUAAUGAGACCUUGAUGAUAUGAAUGGCGACAGUUUCUUUAGAAAUAAAAAAUAAAAAAUGAAAAAUAAUAUUACUAUUAGUUAAAAUGUGAUGGGUUCACUUUAUUGACUUUGAUCCAAUGCUUUAAAAUUUGGGCAAGCGUUCUAUGCUUCUCCGACAGCAUGGAAAUGACAUCUUUCCCUUUAUCUAACUGUCCAUUUUGAAUGGAAGGCUAAAAUUGCCUCAAUCACAAUAUCAC